Molecule: non-coding RNA, 593 nt
Organism: Lepisosteus oculatus (spotted gar)
Lineage: Eukaryota; Metazoa; Chordata; Actinopteri; Semionotiformes; Lepisosteidae
Source: RefSeq, a predicted model, not a curated record
CACCUGUCACAAUUUGACGUUUUCAGACAUACCAGGUUACAUUCCUUAUCUUUUUUUGGGGGGGGGUUUGUUUUGUUUUAGUAUUUAUAUCUGGGCUAAGUGAAGAUAAAAACAAUCCAUCCCGUCCGUGUUAAAUAGCCGCUCAGUCCAAAUCGGAGUCGCGGACUGUCCGGCCCACAGCGUGGGCGAUAUUUAAAAUAGCUGGCUCUUGCCUCAGUGCAGGCGGCGAGUGACCCGUCCUGUGGUCCCCUGUCCUGCCCACUGCGUGAGACUCUAGCGCCUGGUGCUCCGAACACAACUCUGAAUUCUCUAAUUCGGGGCAGAUAGACAGGCCUACUGGGAAAAUCAGCUGUCAGGACCUCCUCAUGACCUGCAGUCAAUGGGAGAUCUAUUGGAUCAUUUCCACCCAAGCAUGGGCAUCCUGCGAGGUUUACCAAGAACCAUAGAUAAUCCCACCAUUGAAAAAAAGACUUUUUUAUGAAUCUCAUACUCAUAUUUUACCAAAUGUUUCUAGAAUACAUAUUAGUCACUGUAGUAUUAUAUUUUGAUUAUCUUGUAUAAUCCGAAAUCUGGAAUAAAAAGAAGUGCGAUUU